GAUGAACGCUGGCGGCGUGCUUAACACAUGCAAGUCGAACGGUGAAGCAGGAGCUUGCUCUUGUGGAUCAGUGGCGAACGGGUGAGUAACACGUGAGCAACCUGCCCCUGACUCCGGGAUAAGCGCUGGAAACGGCGUCUAAUACUGGAUAUGUGAUGUGACCGCAUGGUCUGCAUCUGGAAAGAAUUUCGGGUGGGGAUGGGCUCGCGGCCUAUCAGCUUGUUGGUGAGGUAAUGGCUCAACAAGGCGUCGAAGGGUAGCCGGCCUGAGAGGGUGACCGGCCACACUGGGACUGAGACACGGCCCAGACUCCUACGGGAGGCAGCAGUGGGGAAUAUUGCACAAUGGGCGGAAGCCUGAUGCAGCAACGCCGCGUGAGGGAUGAAGGCCUUCGGGUUGUAAACCUCUUUUAGCAGGGAAGAAGCGAAAGUGACGGUACCUGCAGAAAAAGCACCGGCUAACUACGUGCCAGCCGCCGCCGUAA
This 484-nucleotide ribosomal RNA is filed under the name uncultured bacterium. RNAcentral describes it as "partial 16S ribosomal RNA". It matches the Rfam family "Bacterial small subunit ribosomal RNA", at positions 28 to 523 of the family's 1533-position model. The record is from RNAcentral.